UGAGCAUUCUGGCGUAAUCAGAAUGAGUC
Molecule: non-coding RNA, 29 nt
Filed under: Rattus norvegicus (Norway rat)
Lineage: Eukaryota; Metazoa; Chordata; Mammalia; Rodentia; Muridae
Source: RNAcentral